This 253-nucleotide ribosomal RNA is filed under the name uncultured bacterium. RNAcentral's name for it is "partial 16S ribosomal RNA". It matches the Rfam family "Bacterial small subunit ribosomal RNA", at positions 524 to 776 of the family's 1533-position model. The record is from RNAcentral.
UACAGAGGUCUCAAGCGUUGUUCGGAUUCAUUGGGCGUAAAGGGUGCGUAGGCGGCGCGGCAAGUCGGGCGUGAAAUCUCGGGGCUUAACUCCGAAACUGCAUUCGAUACUGCCGUGCUUGAGGACUGGAGAGGAGACUGGAAUUUACGGUGUAGCGGUGAAAUGCGUAGAUAUCGUAAGGAAGACCAGUGGCGAAGGCGGGUCUCUGGACAGUUCCUGACGCUGAGGCACGAAGGUCAGGGGAGCAAGCGGG